RNAcentral lists this ribosomal RNA (380 nucleotides) under uncultured organism. RNAcentral describes it as "bacterial SSU rRNA". It matches the Rfam family "Bacterial small subunit ribosomal RNA", at positions 367 to 762 of the family's 1533-position model. The record is from RNAcentral.
CGCAAUGGGCGAAAGCCUGACGGAGCGACGCCGCGUGCAGGAUGAAGUGCUUCGGUAUGUAAACUGCUUUUAUGAGCGAAGAAGUUUAUUGACUAGCUCAUGAAUAAGGGGUUGCUAAACUCGUGCCAGCAGCAGCGGUAAUACGAGUGCCCCAAGCGUUAUCCGGAAUCAUUGGGCGUAAAGGGUGUGUAGGCGGCUUCGUUAGUCUUCUGUUAAAUUCUUCGGCUUAACCGGGGGCAUGCAGAGGAAACGGCGAAGCUAGAGGAUGCGAGAGGUGAAUGGAACUCAUGGAGUAGGGGUGAAAUCCGUUGAUAUCAUGGGGAACACCAAAAGCGCAGGCAAUUCACUGGCGCACUCCUCACGCUGAGACACGAAAGCGU